This is a long non-coding RNA of Calidris pugnax (ruff), 554 nucleotides long. RefSeq lists it as uncharacterized. The transcript is spliced from 4 exons. Lineage: Eukaryota; Metazoa; Chordata; Aves; Charadriiformes; Scolopacidae. The record is from RefSeq and is a predicted model, not a curated record.
CAAGCCUCGCAGCAUGAAGGCCCGGUGCCCCCCUCCCCGCCUCACCACGCCGACACCGGAGUCGUGGAAAGGAGGAGUAUGAGGAUGGGUUUCAUGUCCCUGGUGUCAUGGAGGGUUCCUCAGGCCAGAUGUUGGACUCCCUGGGCCUCUGCUGCUGAAGGACUCUGGGGUUUUGUGAUGAUCCACAGGCUCCACUAGAAGAUGCGUUAAUAUUUCCGAUUUAGACCUGAAUGUGAAGAAUGACACAUCCCACUGAGGAGAGACUGAGUUUCACUUCAUGCUUCAGCCAGAGCACACGGAUACGACAAGCAUGCCAAACUCUUUCAUCUGCCUGGGAUUGCUCUCUUCCAGAGUGGUUUUCCUUUCUAAGAUGCUGUUAAACUCCCUUCCUCAUGAGUUUCCCAUCCUUUAAAUGAAGAGGGAACCGUUCCAGUCCUGGAGAUAUCCUGAUGUCUUUUCUGCAGCGUGGGAAGGAGAUGGAAAGAAAACAGCAAGAACUGCUUGUUUGGUGCAUUCCUGGGGACUGUGCUUGCCCCUGCAGUAUCCCAGCACCA